CUCCUCCAUCUCUCCCUCCCUCUCCCUCUAACAGCGUAUGCAUCUCCCUCUCCCUCAAAUAGCCCACACAUCUCCCUCUCCCUAGGGUUUUGGUGAACCACUUACCUAGGGUUUUCUCAUUCUAGCUCGCGGCUCGAAGGAGGGGCAACCACUCUAGUUUAUUCCUCAGCUGGGAGGUAGCAACAAUGAUAUGAGAUAUGGUUGCAAUAGCAAAGAUAAUGAAUGCAACAUUGGUCCUUCCUUCUCUUGAUCACAAGUCCUUUUGGACAGAUCCGAGUGAUUUUAAGGACCCUUUUGAUUGGAAGCGCUUCAUAGAAGUCUUGAAAGAUGUUGUUGAGAUAGUGGAGUUCCUCUCACAUUUAAGUGUAAAAAUGCUACAU
Magnolia sinica is the source of this 380-nucleotide long non-coding RNA. RefSeq lists it as uncharacterized. The transcript has 3 exons. The record is from RefSeq and is a predicted model, not a curated record. NCBI's taxonomy places the organism in Eukaryota, Viridiplantae, Streptophyta, Magnoliopsida, Magnoliales, Magnoliaceae.